GACGAACGCUGGCGGCGUGCUUAACACAUGCAAGUCGAACGGAAAGGCCCUGCUUGCAGGGUACUCGAGUGGCGAACGGGUGAGUAACACGUGGGUGAUCUGCCCUGCACUUCGGGAUAAGCUUGGGAAACUGGGUCUAAUACCGGAUAGGAACCAUCUUUAGUGUGGUGGUUGGAAAGUUUUUUCGGUGUAGGAUGAGCUCGCGGCCUAUCAGCUUGUUGGUGGGGUAAUGGCCUACCAAGGCGGCGACGGGUAGCCGGCCUGAGAGGGUGUACGGCCACAGUGGGACUGAGAUACGGCCCAGACUCCUACGGGAGGCAGCAGUGGGGAAUAUUGCACAAUGGGCGCAAGCCUGAUGCAGCGACGCCGCGUGGGGGAUGAAGGCCUUCGGGUUGUAAACUCCUUUCGCUAGGGACGAAGCUUUUUGUGACGGUACCUAGAUAAGAAGCACCGGCUAACUACGUG
Molecule: ribosomal RNA, 465 nt
Filed under: uncultured bacterium
Lineage: Bacteria
Description: partial 16S ribosomal RNA
Rfam family: Bacterial small subunit ribosomal RNA
Source: RNAcentral